UCAUUACACAAUACAUAUGAAGGCUUCGGCUGGAUUAUUUAUUUCACCCUUGUCUUUUGCGCACUUGUUGUUUCCUGGGCGGGUUCGCCCGCCACCAGGACCACACCAUAAACCUUUUUUGUUAAUGCAGUCAGCGUCAGUACAACAAAUGUAAAUCAUUUACAACUUUCAACAACGGAUCUCUUGGUUCUGGCAUCGAUGAAGAACGCAGCGAAAUGCGAUACGUAGUGUGAAUUGCAGAAUUCAGUGAAUCAUCGAAUCUUUGAACGCACAUUGCGCCCUUUGGUAUUCCAAAGGGCAUGCCUGUUCGAGCGUCAUUUGUACCCUCAAGCUUUGCUUGGUGUUGGGCGUUUUGUCUUUGCUCGCCAAAGACUCGCCUUAAAACGAUUGGCAGCCGACCUCUUGGUUUCGCAGCGCAGCACAAUUUUGCGCUUGCAAAUCAGCAAGUUGGCACUCCAUCAAGAACAUUUUCUUACGUUUGACCUCGGAUCAGGUAAGGAUACCCGCUGAAACUUAAAGCAUAUCAAUAAGCGGAGGA
RNAcentral lists this ribosomal RNA (538 nucleotides) under ascomycete sp. CCN26. RNAcentral describes it as "eukaryotic LSU rRNA". The stretch from base 164 to 317 matches the Rfam family "5.8S ribosomal RNA". The record is from RNAcentral. Lineage: Eukaryota; Fungi; Ascomycota.